GGCAACUCCGUCCCUCCCCUGAGGUCUCACAUUCAUAAAUAACAGCUGAGGAGGGGAUCUUUGGAGACCUGAACUCCCCCCUCAUUACCGUCUUGCUCUUGCUAAAGGAUGCUAUUUUAAUAACUGGACAUUUUCAGAAGAAAUCUUUGCCCUCACACAAGCCCUCCCAGACAGAUGGGAGUCCCUCCCUCUAAGGACGGAAGCAGGAGGGUGCUGAGCCCUGAACCUCUGAAGCCUACUCUGGGCCACCAACAGCCACAGCAUCCUGCUCAACUCAGCCUACUGGCUGCUGGUGUCUCACAGCAGCUGCUGCCCAUUGAAGGGAGCCCAACAUCCCCCACACUGCCUGUGCCCUGGAGGACAGCUUGCCGGGGUUCACUUCAUUUACAUAAAGCUGAUCAUCAGGUUUGCUUCUCUGACGUUUGUGGUCCUACACUGUAAACUGAUACCUCCAAACUGAGCCAUGGCACCUUCCUCAUUCUCAGGGAGCCUCUCGUGCUCUGAAAUGGUGUCACCGUCCUGGCAGGUUUCUGUCCUCCCUGACCAGCUCCUGUAAUGGCUGCCUGAAGUCGGGGAAAGCAUCCAGAAGCUCCAGUUAUGGGGAUUCGGGUAACUAGAGAUGUCACUCCAGGGUGGAUGAAUGGCAGCGCCUGGGCCUGUCUGGCUGGAACCUGGGCUGCUCAUUCAGGCAGGGGCUACCAAGGCCGGGAAACCCCCAGAACACAGUGGAUGUGGCGGCAGCCAGGGCUGACCCUGGAGCUUACUCUGAGGACAAGCAGUGAUGGCGCCCCUGGAGGCCUGGCAAAGACACAGAUGACAAGACCAAAGGAAACAGGGCUAAAUGACUUGACCAGGAUAACACAGCUAGUAAGUGUCUGAGAUUUGAAUACAAGAUGUUUUCCUGACUCCACAGCCAAGAUCCUAUGUACUCUGCCACUUAAAUGUCCCAGCUAAUGAGCAGCAGACUUGACUUCCUUAUCUUAAUUCUAGCACUCUUUCCAUACUAUGUCUUCUUCAUUGCUCUAGUAGAGGAUUUUGCCCACAGGAUAAUGGAAAAAACAUACUAGGUCAUUGAUUGACAAGAAGACAGUAAGAGAAGGCUUAUAUAUGCUUUUUAAAAUUAAUUUUCUACCCAAUUACAUGUAAAAAACUUUCCACUACUUUAAUAUAUUUUAAAAUAUUUUGAGUCUUUGACUCUCUCCUUCUCUUUUCCCACCCCUUGCUGAGAUGGUAAACUCAUAAAGAUUUUACACAUGCAAUCAUGUAAAACAUUUUUUCUCACUAUUCCUUUAAUGAAAGAAUGUCAAAAAUUAAAGAAUGAAGUGAAA
Molecule: long non-coding RNA, 1328 nt
Filed under: Monodelphis domestica (gray short-tailed opossum)
Lineage: Eukaryota; Metazoa; Chordata; Mammalia; Didelphimorphia; Didelphidae
Description: lncRNA (ENSMODG00000045609.1)
Source: RNAcentral